RNAcentral lists this ribosomal RNA (253 nucleotides) under uncultured bacterium. RNAcentral describes it as "partial 16S ribosomal RNA". It matches the Rfam family "Bacterial small subunit ribosomal RNA", at positions 524 to 776 of the family's 1533-position model. The record is from RNAcentral.
UACGUAGGGACCAAGCGUUGUUCGGAUUUACUGGGCGUAAAGGGCGCGUAGGCGGCAAUUCAAGUCAUCUGUGAAAUCUCCGGGCUUAACUCGGAACGGUCAGAUGAUACUGCUUUGCUAGAGUGCGGAAGGGGCAAUCGGAAUUCUCGGUGUAGCGGUGAAAUGCGUAGAUAUCGAGAGGAACACCCGUGGCGAAGGCGGCUUCCUGGCCCGGGCCUGACGCUGAGGCGCGAAAGCGUGGGGAGCGAUCCGG